Arachis stenosperma is the source of this 1060-nucleotide long non-coding RNA. RefSeq lists it as uncharacterized. The transcript has 5 exons. The record is from RefSeq and is a predicted model, not a curated record. Lineage: Eukaryota; Viridiplantae; Streptophyta; Magnoliopsida; Fabales; Fabaceae.
UGGUUUACUAUUUGAAUUAUGUCUGGUUUUUGACGUAAGAAUCAUAAAUUUUUUCUGUCUUAAGUAAUAUUCUAAUUAUUUAAUCUAUUGUUUCAGUGCUUUGUUGAGGCUGAUGCAAUUGCUCUAAGACGUGUGCGGAAAGAGGAUAUAUGUCACGUUGCGAAGGCAACUGGUGCUACACUGGUAUGCCGUUUUCAACACUUCAAUGCAGUUUUUGCCUAUUUUUUAUGACAGAUGGAUGCAGUAGGCGAACCUGUUUGGCCAAAUACCUGUUGGUUUCUUUAGCCUUCCCUCUUUGCAAUAUGUGUUCCUUAGUCCCCUCAGUCCGGUUCCCCUCAUACUAAUUUGUGUGUUUGCUCAAAGAUUUUUUGUCCAAUCCCUUCAACUUUUUGUUUGGAUUUCAGGUCUCUUUUUCAGCCAAGAAGUCAUUCCCUUGUGCUAUGAAACAUGUGGUCUUAAAGAUCUGAAAGCCCUUGAGUCAAAAUCAUUGGAAUUGAGUGCUGAAGGUGAAGGAGGAAAGGAGGAGUAUUAGAAUGGUUGUCACUCCGCCACUCCUCCAAAAAUAUUGUGGCAUGCAGAAGAAAUCCAGAGGUCUUAGUAGAAGACGCCACCAAGAGAAAGAGAAAACGUUGAAUAGAUCUUAGAAGAACUGAACAACUAAUGUCCAGUCUGUGCUCAUGUAUGACUGUUCCUUUGGCAAGAUUUCCUUCUAAACCAAUCUUGCUUGCGGAGUAUACUCUCUAUAUUUAGUUUAAUUCUAGACUAGGUUUAUGUUUAUAUUUAGACUAAUUCUGAUAGUGGCUAGCUAUAAGAGUAGAUUAUUUUAUAUCACCUUUAGUAUAUGCUACAUUACAUGUUUUACAGGUUUUUCUUUUUUCAGUGAUAUUUGUUUUGAAUAAUAGUUGAUUGAUGAGUCCAAAUUUGAUGAUAUAUUUUGACUCAAAUUGGAUGAAUUCUAGCACAUCAACUCACACUUAAGCACUCAAAUAGCACUCAAAUGUGAAAACCUGCUCUUUUGCACUUAUUUUGACUAAUUUUAUUCCGUUUACCUUUCAUUCGA